RNAcentral lists this ribosomal RNA (640 nucleotides) under uncultured bacterium. Its description in RNAcentral is "bacterial SSU rRNA". It matches the Rfam family "Bacterial small subunit ribosomal RNA", at positions 69 to 688 of the family's 1533-position model. The record is from RNAcentral.
AGAAAGUGGCUUCGGCCAUGAGUAAAGCGGCGAACGGGUGAGUAACACGUGGAUAAUCUACCUGCGAGCGGGGGAUAACCUGGGGAAACCCGGACUAAUACCGCAUACGCUCCGAGAGCUUCGGCUCGAUGAGGAAAGCUGGCCUCUGCUUGCAAGCCAGCACUCGCAGAUGAGUCCGCGGCUGAUUAGCUUGUUGGUGGGGUAAUGGCCUACCAAGGCGACGAUCAGUAGCCGGCCUGAGAGGGCGAUCGGCCACACUGGAACUGAGACACGGUCCAGACUCCUACGGGAGGCAGCAGUGGGGAAUAUUGGACAAUGGGGGCAACCCUGAUCCAGCAACGCCGCGUGGAGGACGAAGGCUUUCGGGUCGUAAACUCCUGUCAGGUGGGAAGAAAUGGCGUCGGUGAAUAUCCGGCGUCUUUGACGGUACCACCAGAGGAAGCCCCGGCUAACUCCGUGCCAGCAGCCGCGGUAAUACGGAGGGGGCUAGCGUUAUUCGGAAUUACUGGGCGUAAAGGGCGUGUAGGCGGCUUGGCAAGUCAAAGGUGAAAGCCCUCGGCUCAACCGAGGAACUGCCUUUGAAACUGCCUCGCUAGAGACCGGGAGGGGGUGGCGGAAUUCCUGGUGUAGCGGUGAAAUG